GCUGAAAGAUGGCCUCGCGUCUGAUUAGAUAGUUGGUGGGGUAACGGCCUACCAAGUCAACGAUCAGUAGCCGGUCUGAGAGGAUGAACGGCCACAUUGGGACUGAGAUACGGCCCAGACUCCUACGGGAGGCAGCAGUGGGGAAUAUUGGGCAAUGGGGGAAACCCUGACCCAGCAACGCCGCGUGAAGGAAGAAGGCCUUCGGGUUGUAAACUUCUUUUACCAGGGACGAAGGACGUGACGGUACCUGGAGAAAAAGCAACGGCUAACUACGUGCCAGCAGCCGCGGUAAUACGUAGGUUGCAAGCGUUGUCCGGAUUUACUGGGUGUAAAGGGCGUGUAGGCGGAGGAGCAAGUCAGAUGUGAAAUCCAUGGGCUUAACCCAUGAACUGCAUUUGAAACUGUUUCCCUUGAGUAUCGGAGAGGCAAGCGGAAUUCCUAGUGUAGCGGUGAAAUGCGUAGAUAUUAGGAGGAACACCAGUGGCGAAGGCGGCUUGCUGGACGACAACUGACGCUGAGGCGCGAAAGCGUGGGGAGCAAACAGGAUUAGAUACCCUGGUAGUCCACGCUGUAAACGAUGAAUACUAGGUGUGGGAGGACUGACCCCUUCCGUGCCGCAGUUAACACAAUAAGUAUUCCACCUGGGGAGUACGACCGCAAGGUUGAAACUCAAAGG
RNAcentral lists this ribosomal RNA (676 nucleotides) under uncultured bacterium. RNAcentral describes it as "bacterial SSU rRNA". It matches the Rfam family "Bacterial small subunit ribosomal RNA", at positions 217 to 907 of the family's 1533-position model. The record is from RNAcentral.